CUUCAGCAAGUGCGUUGUGCUCUGUGGCUGCUGAUCUUCCCCGCUCGUCUCGUCUGCUCCCCCUUUCCACACGCCGAACUCCCCUUCCUUCCUUCGUUGUUGACUCGAGCUCGAGACCUGCUCCUGCCGGAUCUGAUGAUGGAGCCGGCGGGAGACUCUUCCCUGGAGGCCGCGAUUGCAUGGCUGGUGCAGACCAUCCUUGCAACGCUCCUCAUGGACAAGAUGGAGGAGUGGAUUCGGCAAGUCGGGCUUGCCGACGACGUCGAGAGGCUCCAGUCUGAGGU
This 284-nucleotide ribosomal RNA is filed under the name Triticum aestivum (bread wheat). Its description in RNAcentral is "partial small subunit ribosomal RNA". The record is from RNAcentral. Lineage: Eukaryota; Viridiplantae; Streptophyta; Magnoliopsida; Poales; Poaceae.